This is a non-coding RNA of Helianthus annuus (common sunflower), 87 nucleotides long. The record is from Rfam. NCBI's taxonomy places the organism in Eukaryota, Viridiplantae, Streptophyta, Magnoliopsida, Asterales, Asteraceae.
CCAUGCAUUACUGGGUAACUACUUCUUUGGCAGUUAGUUAGUCUUUUAACACUAACCGCCAAGGGAGAUUUGCCCCGCAAUUCAUUA